This 404-nucleotide ribosomal RNA is filed under the name uncultured microorganism. RNAcentral's name for it is "bacterial SSU rRNA". It matches the Rfam family "Archaeal small subunit ribosomal RNA", at positions 330 to 687 of the family's 1478-position model. The record is from RNAcentral.
GCGCACCAGUCGAGAAACCUUCGCAAUGCAGGAAACUGCGACGAGGGAACUCCAAGUGCCUACGCUCAGCGUAGGCUGUUCUCAAGCCUAGAAAGCUUGAGGAGUAAGGGCUGGGUAAGACGGGUGCCAUCUGUGGUAGCAGUCAAUAGAUUCGAUUUGUUACUGCAAGGCAUAAGCCGCCGCGGUAAUACCCGCAGCCCAAGUGGUGGCCGCUUUUAUUGGGCCUAAAGCGUCCGUAGCCGGCCCGGUAAAUGCCUGGGUAAAUCGUGGAGCCCAACUUCACGAAUUCCGGGUAGACUGCCGAGCUCGGGACCGGAAGAGGGAGAGGGUACUUCGAGGGGUAGGGGUGAAAAUUUCCUUUCCAUUAACGCUUUGCGCGAAGCGGAAAGGGUUAUCACAAUCCU